Molecule: ribosomal RNA, 426 nt
Filed under: uncultured Burkholderia sp.
Lineage: Bacteria; Pseudomonadati; Pseudomonadota; Betaproteobacteria; Burkholderiales; Burkholderiaceae
Description: bacterial SSU rRNA
Rfam family: Bacterial small subunit ribosomal RNA
Source: RNAcentral
UCCUACGGGAGGCAGCAGUGGGGAAUUUUGGACAAUGGGCGAAAGCCUGAUCCAGCAAUGCCGCGUGUGUGAAGAAGGCCUUCGGGUUGUAAAGCACUUUUGUCCGGAAAGAAAUCCUUGGCUUUAAUACAGUCGGGGGAUGACGGUACCGGAAGAAUAAGCACCGGCUAACUACGUGCCAGCAGCCGCGGUAAUACGUAGGGUGCGAGCGUUAAUCGGAAUUACUGGGCGUAAAGCGUGCGCAGGCGGUUUGCUAAGUCAGAUGUGAAAUCCCCGGGCUCAACCUGGGAACUGCAUUGGUGACUGGCAGGCUAGAGUAUGGCAGAGGGGGGUAGAAUUCCACGUGUAGCAGUGAAAUGCGUAGAGAUGUGGAGGAAUACCGAUGGCGAAGGCAGCCCCCUGGGCCAAUACUGACGCUCAUGCACG